Molecule: long non-coding RNA, 326 nt
Organism: Suricata suricatta (meerkat)
Lineage: Eukaryota; Metazoa; Chordata; Mammalia; Carnivora; Herpestidae
Exons: 2
Source: RefSeq, a predicted model, not a curated record
CCAGAAUGGAAGACAGAUCACCAACCUUGCUAAUCGGACAACCAGAAACUCCAUCUGAAAAGGAUUCCUGCUCAGGCUGAUCAUGACUCCGAGUUAACAUCGCAGUGCCCGGCAGCCGCCUGUGAAGUGAUGUGACUCAGCUCUGUCUCUGAGAGACAGGUGUCCACUUUAGAAAACCACCAACCCACUCAGCAGCCCUCACGACAAAGGCAAUCAGUGACUGAGGAGUCAGCAUCUGAGGCGACUGCAGGAAGGCAUCUCCGGGAGAGGCAGAACUGAAGCAGCCAGCCUUGUGUUAAAAAUAAAAUUCAGUUCAAUCCAAGAAA